GAAACUGGCAGUAAUACCGGAUAACAUCUUCGGAUCAAAUGGUGUGAUUCCGCUCGAGGAUCGGACCGCGUACUAUUAGCUUGUUGGCGGGGUAAUGGCCCACCAAGGCUGCGAUGGUUACCGGGUGUGAGAGCAUGGCCCGGCUCACUGGGACUGAGACACUGCCCAGACAUCUACGGAUGGCUGCAGUCGAGAAUCUUCGGCAAUGGACGAAAGUCUGACCGAGCGACGCCGCGUGCGGGAUGAAGGCCCUCGGGUUGUAAACCGCUGUCAGUUAGGAGGAAAUCCAUGGGGGUUCUCCCUCAUGGUUGACCGAUUUUCAGAGGAAGGACGGGCUAAGUUCGUGCCAGCAGCCGCGGUAACACGAACCGUCCAAACGUUAUUCGGUAUCACUGGGCUUAAAGCGUGCGUAGGCGGCUUGGUAGGUGAGAUGUGAAAGCCCACGGCUCAACCGUGGAAUAGCGUCUCAAACCCUCAAGCUCGAGGAAGAUAGGGGUGAUGGGAACUUAUGGUGGAGCGGUGAAAUGCGUUGAUAUCAUAGGGAAC
RNAcentral lists this ribosomal RNA (546 nucleotides) under uncultured bacterium. Its description in RNAcentral is "bacterial SSU rRNA". It matches the Rfam family "Bacterial small subunit ribosomal RNA", at positions 153 to 707 of the family's 1533-position model. The record is from RNAcentral.